RNAcentral lists this ribosomal RNA (253 nucleotides) under uncultured bacterium. RNAcentral's name for it is "partial 16S ribosomal RNA". It matches the Rfam family "Bacterial small subunit ribosomal RNA", at positions 524 to 776 of the family's 1533-position model. The record is from RNAcentral.
UACGAAGGGUGCAAGCGUUACUCGGAAUUACUGGGCGUAAAGCGUGCGUAGGUGGUUCGUUAAGUCUGAUGUGAAAGCCCUGGGCUCAACCUGGGAAUGGCAUUGGAAACUGGCGACCUAGAGUGUGGUAGAGGGUAGUGGAAUUCCCGGUGUAGCAGUGAAAUGCGUAGAGAUCGGGAGGAACAUCCGUGGCGAAGGCGACUACCUGGACCAGCACUGACACUGAGGCACGAAAGCGUGGGGAGCAAACAGG